Molecule: ribosomal RNA, 397 nt
Filed under: Nostoc edaphicum
Lineage: Bacteria; Bacillati; Cyanobacteriota; Cyanophyceae; Nostocales; Nostocaceae
Description: bacterial SSU rRNA
Rfam family: Bacterial small subunit ribosomal RNA
Source: RNAcentral
CGUGAGGGAGCAGGCUCUUGGGUCGUAAACCUCUUUUCUCAGGGAAGAAACAAUGACGGUACCUGAGGAAUAAGCAUCGGCUAACUCCGUGCCAGCAGCCGCGGUAAUACGGAGGAUGCAAGCGUUAUCCGGAAUGAUUGGGCGUAAAGCGUCCGCAGGUGGCUAUGUAAGUCUGCUGUUAAAGCGUCUAGCUCAACUAGAUAAGAGCAGUGGAAACUACAUGGCUAGAGUGCGUUCGGGGCAGAGGGAAUUCCUGGUGUAGCGGUGAAAUGCGUAGAGAUCAGGAAGAACACCGGUGGCGAAGGCGCUCUGCUAGGCCGCAACUGACACUGAGGGACGAAAGCUAGGGGAGCGAAUGGGAUUAGAUACCCCCCGUAAACGAUGGAUACUAGGCGUG